Molecule: transfer-messenger RNA, 373 nt
Filed under: Ktedonobacteraceae
Lineage: Bacteria; Bacillati; Chloroflexota; Ktedonobacteria; Ktedonobacterales
Also listed under: 1 other name
Description: Dictyobacter sp015099395 Standard tmRNA
Rfam family: transfer-messenger RNA
About the family: Bacterial tmRNA, also known as 10Sa RNA or SsrA, is named for its dual tRNA and mRNA-like properties.
Source: RNAcentral
GGGGAUGUCGGGUUUCGACAGGCGGUCAGAUUGGAGAAUUGCAGGCCGAGGUGCCGGUACGCACUCUCGUUAAACAACCGGCAAAACAAUAGUUGCCAAACCAAGCAACACACAACUCGCUUUCGCUGCCUAAGAAGUAGCGAUGCGACGUCUGCCCGGUCUUCCCCCUGUGGGACCGGAUACAGGCGUCAUAAACGCAGGGGUGCAGUGGCAGUAACCGUCUUCUAACUGCGACUAAAGACUAGAGGACCAGCGCUUCUGGUAUCCCGUCGGCGGGAGACUGAAGCGAUAAGAAAAACGCCGAAUAAGCCUGUAGUACAUUUUUCAGUAGGGACGCUUGGACAGGGAGUUCAACUCUCCCUCAUCUCCACCA